Molecule: ribosomal RNA, 586 nt
Filed under: uncultured bacterium
Lineage: Bacteria
Description: bacterial SSU rRNA
Rfam family: Bacterial small subunit ribosomal RNA
Source: RNAcentral
ACGGGUGAGUAAUGCAUCGGAACGUGCCCAGUAGUGGGGGAUAGCCCGGCGAAAGCCGGAUUAAUACCGCAUACGACCUGAGGGUGAAAGCGGGGGACCGUAAGGCCUCGCGCUAUUGGAGCGGCCGAUGUCAGAUUAGGUAGUUGGUGGGGUAAAGGCCUACCAAGCCGACGAUCUGUAGCUGGUCUGAGAGGACGACCAGCCACACUGGGACUGAGACACGGCCCAGACUCCUACGGGAGGCAGCAGUGGGGAAUUUUGGACAAUGGGGGCAACCCUGAUCCAGCCAUGCCGCGUGCGGGAAGAAGGCCUUCGGGUUGUAAACCGCUUUUGUUCGGGAAGAAAUCCUUUGGGCUAAUACCCUAGAGGGAUGACGGUACCGGAAGAAUAAGCACCGGCUAACUACGUGCCAGCAGCCGCGGUAAUACGUAGGGUGCAAGCGUUAAUCGGAAUUACUGGGCGUAAAGCGUGCGCAGGCGGUUGUGCAAGACAGAUGUGAAAUCCCCGGGCUUAACCUGGGAACUGCAUUUGUGACUGCACGGCUAGAGUACGGUAGAGGGGAGUGGAAUUCCGCGUGUAGCAGUGA